AACUCAUGAUAAGGUUACCUUCUCAAAAGAUCUUUAAAUCUGUCCCAUGCAUCAUAUAAUGUCUCCAUAUCAAAUUGAACAAAGUAAAAGAUGUCGUUUCUUAACU
This is a non-coding RNA of Gossypium arboreum, 106 nucleotides long. The record is from Rfam. Lineage: Eukaryota; Viridiplantae; Streptophyta; Magnoliopsida; Malvales; Malvaceae.